GAUAGGACUCACUAUAUUGAUGCACCUAGCCGUUCCAGAAUCUCUCCUAAAUCAUGCUGUGACACCAUGCUGUCAACAAGGUCACCAUAUAUAUAGGUGUGCUUACAUGUAUCUUACGAUAAAGUGAAUUGCUUGCUUUAUAAUUUCUUGUGUGCUUACAUAUAUCCUAUGAUAAGGUAAAUUGGUUACCUUAUAACUUCUUGUGUGCUAACAUAUAUCCUAAGAUAAGGUAAAUUGGUUACCCUAUAACUUCUUGUGUACUUACAUAUAUCUUAUGAUAAAGAAAAUUGGUUUCUUUAUAACUUCUUAUGUACUUACAUAUAUCUUAUGAUAAAGAAAAUUGGUUUCUUUAUAACUACUUGCGUACCUCUUAUAUCUUAUGAGAAAGUAAGUUGCUUACUUUAGAUAUUCUUUUGUGUUAAAAUUGUGUGCCUUAAAAUGUCUUACCAUAGAGCCAACUGGUCACAUUAUAUACCCUUUUUAUGUAGUGAAUUGAAUGCUUAAACAUAUCUCCUUGUGGAGAAACAUUGGAGGAAUACAAAGAACAUGUGGAAACUCUGGAACGUUUAUCAAAGGAUCUUUUGUUAUCAGGAGAGUAAAACAGGGAAAUCUGCAGAAAAAGCUGAGUCGUUAGUCGUCACUUGGUCUUUUUGGUUCUUCUGCUGUCGGUGUGGUGUCGUGUGCUCUGCUCUGCCCUGCUCUUCUGCUUCCAAAAAACUGUGGCCUUCAUAGCAAUAGAUUUUCAUCUUAGGGACUCUGACACCGUAGCGCUCGGUUCAGACUCUAUUUUCUUUUUAGUUUAGUUUUAGAAAUCCAACCUCGGGCUCCACCGGAGAGAAAGUCGGUAACUCAGUUUUAGAAAUCCAACCUUGGGCUCCACCCGAGAGGACGUUGGUACUUAGAAAUCCAGCCUCAAGAGCCUCUUAAGAGAAAGUUGGUACUUUUAAUAGGAAUCUUCUUUAGCACUAGCUUAGUCUCAAGCGUGAUUAAAUAAAGGCAACUCUCGGGGUCAUGCGGUGUACUGAGGCACGAGAGUUGCGUCAACGUUAAAACCUGGGCUCCACUUGGGAAACGUUGUUGAACUUAGACUUAGAAACCCAACCUUGGCUCCACCCGAGAUAAACGUUGGUACCUAGACUUAGAAACCCAACCUUGGGCUCCACCCGAGAGAAACGUUGGUACCUAGACUUAGAAACCCAACCUUGGCUCCACCCGAGAGAAACGUUGGUACCUAGACUCAGAAACCCAACCUUGGAAUCCACCCGAGAGAAACGUUGGUACUUUUAAUAGGCCAUUCUUCAUCUAUUUUCUUCUUCUUUUACUAUCUUUUCUUUUCAAAUCUAUACUCAGUUGUAAAAGUUAUUGUGUUUAUUGGACCUAAGAAUAAAUCUACCUGACUACAUUUGUAGUAGGUAAACUCAA
Molecule: long non-coding RNA, 1422 nt
Organism: Gadus macrocephalus (Pacific cod)
Lineage: Eukaryota; Metazoa; Chordata; Actinopteri; Gadiformes; Gadidae
Exons: 2
Source: RefSeq, a predicted model, not a curated record